UACGGAGGGUGCAAGCGUUAUCCGGAUUUACUGGGUUUAAAGGGUGCGCAGGCGGAUAUGUAAGUCAGUGGUGAAAUCUCCGGGCUUAACCCGGAAACUGCCGUUGAUACUAUAUAUCUUGAAUGCUGUGGAGGUAAGCAGAAUAUGUCAUGUAGCGGUGAAAUGCUUAGAUAUGACAUAGAACACCUAUUGCGAAGGCAGCUAACUACGCGAAUAUUGACGCUGAGGCACGAAAGCGUGGGGAUCAAACAGG
This 253-nucleotide ribosomal RNA is filed under the name uncultured bacterium. RNAcentral's name for it is "partial 16S ribosomal RNA". It matches the Rfam family "Bacterial small subunit ribosomal RNA", at positions 524 to 776 of the family's 1533-position model. The record is from RNAcentral.